RNAcentral lists this ribosomal RNA (253 nucleotides) under uncultured bacterium. RNAcentral describes it as "partial 16S ribosomal RNA". It matches the Rfam family "Bacterial small subunit ribosomal RNA", at positions 524 to 776 of the family's 1533-position model. The record is from RNAcentral.
CACGUAGGAGGCGAGCAUUGUCCGGAAUCAUUGGGCGUAAAGAGCGCGCAGGCGGCUUGGCAAGUCGGGUGUGAAAUCCCGGGGCUCAACCCCGUGACUGCAUCCGAUACUGUCAGGCUAGAGGUAGGUAGGGGAGAUCGGAAUUCCUGGUGUAGCGGUGAAAUGCGCAGAUAUCAGGAGGAACACCGGUGGCGAAGGCGGGUCUCUGGGCCGAUACUGACGCUGAGGAGCGAAAGCGUGGGGAGCGAACAGG